GUGCACCGGGGGGAAACCCCCGCCUCGGUCGGUGGAUCGGGGGGAGCCUCGUCUCCCCGGUUGCCUGCGGGAGAAGAAGGGGAGGAGACAGUGGGUUUCGGAGGGGGGACAAAAGGGGUCGGAGGCUAGGGUCUCGGCGAAAACAAAGAAGAAAGAAAGAGAAAGAGAGAGAGAAGGAGAGGGAGUGACCGAGAGGGAGAAGGCCACAGAUCUGGCCGGAGGAGAAGGAGGGGGCCGGAGGACCGGCCGGAGGCGUGGGUUCCGGUGAGAACGAAGGAGAGAAGAGGGAGAAAGAGAGCCGGAGGAGAGAGGGAGGCAACGGAGAUGAAGAGGCGGAAGCCUCUAGAAGGGGGGAGAAAGGAAAAUAGUAACGGGUUUGCGGGUCGGAUCCGAACCCGCAACCCGUUAAGCUUAAAUAAAUAAAUAUAUAUAUAUAUGUAUAUAUGUGUGUGUAUAUAUAAAAUUGAAAUGGGUUAAGUAAACCCAAUUAAACCGGACCCAAUCUAGUUGGGUGAACCCGGAUGAGGGAUUGAGUGGGAUCUGAACCCAAUUGGACCCAAUUAAACUUGGGAUUAAGCCUAAUGACCAAUUAGAAGGCCAAUUAAACCAUAUGGACCCAAUCAAGGCUCCAAUAUGAACACAUUAGACUUGGGCUAAAUUUCGGAUAGAAUCCAAGCAAGUAAAAGGAAAUAAUAUGCUCAUUAUAAUGUGAUUUUAGGUGACUCAGGAUCCGUCACCAGGACGUAAGAAACUUGGGAGAAAACGAAUCAC
Molecule: long non-coding RNA, 771 nt
Filed under: Phoenix dactylifera (date palm)
Lineage: Eukaryota; Viridiplantae; Streptophyta; Magnoliopsida; Arecales; Arecaceae
Description: long non-coding RNA (PDAC_LNC018077)
Source: RNAcentral